Molecule: transfer RNA, 72 nt
Filed under: Lobelia zeylanica
Lineage: Eukaryota; Viridiplantae; Streptophyta; Magnoliopsida; Asterales; Campanulaceae
Description: tRNA-Thr
Rfam family: tRNA
About the family: Transfer RNA (tRNA) molecules are approximately 80 nucleotides in length. Their secondary structure includes four short double-helical elements and three loops (D, anti-codon, and T loops).
Source: RNAcentral
GUCCUUUUAACUCAGUGCUAAAGUAUGGACAUGGUAAGGCCUAAAUCGUCGGUUCAAAUCCGAUAGGGGGUU